AAAAAAGUGGGUUAAUUGCGUACCGGUGCCCGCAAACAUGUUGAAUUAUAGAUAUAUUUCUAUAAAGUUCAACUUUCAUAAAUUAUCUCUAUAAAAGUCUUAAUAUAUUCAGAUAUGCCACUUUGAUUAGCACUCGUUAGAGAAUUAUUUAUUUUUUAAUAGUGGAUUCGUGAAAUAAUAUUUUUAUCCUCAUAAAUAUGUCUCUUUCCCCUUUCUCUUUCUUUUUCAAGCUGCCGGAGCGGGCGGCGGCAGCGAUGUUGCGAAGCCUGUCAGAGUCGUGGGCGACGAGGAUGAGGCUUAGGCCCGCAGCGACGAGGCGGAGGGCGAAGGUGCGGCCUAUUCGAAAAAAGAUGAGGAAAAGGAAAAAAAAAAAAGAGGAGAAAAGGAGGAGGAAAAGGAGGAUACGAAGAAGAAGAGAAAGAGGAAGAAGGAUAAAAUUGUCUAUUUUUCUUAUUAAUUAAUCAUGAUUAAGUAUUUUAACUGUGGUUAACUAAAUUUUUUUAACGGAUCCUAACGGCAGAAACAUAUCUGAAUACAAUUGGACUUUUGUAGAGAUAACUUAUAAAAGUUGAACUUUGCAGAAAUAUAUAUCUACAAUUUAUCAUGUUUGCGAAAAUCUAUAUGUAAUUAACCCUAAAAAAAUUUAUUAUUAUUGUGUGGACGUGGUGCAUCACGUCAUACGUAGACCACCAUUCGUGAAAUUAUUAGAUAAUAAAUUAGGCUUAAUUACAAAAUACGUCCCUCGGUUAACUCCAUGGAUAAAACUUUGAGUGGGGAUCAUAGUUAAUUAAUUCGGAUUCGACAAAAAUUCAGUACAAUUAUAAUUCAAAUAAAAUUUAUAUCUUAAUUUUUAAAUUCAUUGAAAAAUAUAGCUUAAAAAAUGGAUUCGCUAACUAUUUGGAUACCGAUUUAUACGGAUAUUAUACGUUCACCAAUUAACAAUCGUUCACCGAUUAACAAUCCGGGAUCAAAAAUUUGGCUAUUAAAUUAAGCUUUUUUCUCUACAUUUAUGCUACUAGCAUAUAUAGUUAUAAAUUCUUAAAAAUAUAAAAAAAGGGAGCUACAAAAAAAUGUAGAUUAAGCAAAAAAGGUAAUAGCUAAUUUUAUUGUCGUCUCUAUCUUUAUUUUCUUUAUGAUCCACAUAUUUCGAAAGUUUAUGAAGUUUUUUAAUAAUUCGUGAAUAAUUCGGCAAUAAUUCAGAAAGUAAUUUUGUUCAAAAAAUUUGCACAUUUUUUGGUCGAAUAGUUUGGCAUUCGUUUAUUAUUCGUGAAUAAUAAAUCUAACCCAAAAAUUCGCAUACUAUUCUGAUUUUAGGAAUAAAUCGUAUAAGGACAGUUUUAUUCGAAUUUUCAAUAAUUCGCGAAUUAACUAACUAUGGUGGGGAAUUCAUUUUGAUCCAUGGAUAAAAUUGGAGUGAAGAUAGUGAUGUUAAUGGAUUCGGAUUAGUGAACCUCCCAUUUCGCUCCGUUUCGAAUGAGAUGGUAAUUAAGAGCAAAAAAUAUGGAAUAAUAUAAUCUAUUCUGAAUCCGCUUUCAUCUGCCGGAGUUGAAUGACCUUUUUCUUUUUUUGAUCAGCUUAGAUCCACCAAAAGUCCAUUAAAAACUCACUCUCACUCUGAUCCACUUCGAAUGAAGCGGUAAGUGAGGGCUAAAAAUAUGAUUAAAGUUAAUUCGCUUCGAAUCCGCUCUGACCUUACAAGAAACAAAACUGGAAUUGGGAGACCUCUUCCGCCCCCAAAUCCGCCCCAUUUGUGUCCCUAAGUGGGGAGCUUUCCUACAAUGUUUUAUUGAGAAGUCUUUAUUCCGGUCUCAUCCCAUGUGUUAAUUUUGUCACCAUCCAAUAGUUCGUUGGAUAUUUUUUUUAAUGUUUAAAGUUUAAGUUUUAAAUUUUAGAGGAAGGAAUUAUAACUCUUGGAUAGAAAUAAAAGUAUCACGUAAUGACGGAUUGAGGCUUUUCAACGAGAUAUUGUUGGAGCUCUCCACUCAAGUUUUUUUUUCUUCUAUAUCUCAACUAUCCUUAUACACAUAAAAGAAUGACUAAAUUAUAAAAUGUCUUCUUGCACUUUAGACUCAAUCUCAACCAUCCUUCUUAUUAAAAAUUGUAUUAUCAUUUUACAUUUUGUCACCAUCUCAAAUAGAUUCAAAAAAAUUUCAAAAAAAUUUAGAAAUUAACAAAUUAGACAAUAAAUCAUCAUUAAAACUAGUUGAUAUUGACGGAUCACAUUAUUUCAUAUCUCAAUAUAUAUCUAAUUUGCAACUCAAAAAAUAUAUAAAUGGUAUCCUUUAUUUUGCUAUUAUUAUCUUAGUUGAUGAGUGAGGCGGGUAUGCUUCUGAAAACACGGAAAUCUUUUUCUAUGCUUUCAAGUCGUUUUUGAUAUUGAGACUUUCGAAUCGACGAUCGGCUCCAUUAGACUUGAUCUAGAGUAUUUGAAGUAUUUAGAAAAUAAAUUUUAUGAUUUUUCGUUAUAAUUUGUCUAAUGAUCGAAUGGGUUCAAAAUCAAUAAUUUUAAUAGCCGUAAUGAGCCGUUUGCAAGUUUAACGAUAUAGAAAUAUCUAAAUCAUGUGAAAUUUUGAUAGAAAAUUUUUUAUAUUAUAUAAAACAAGAUCAAUAUCUUUGAUCUGAAAUUUUAAUGUCAUAUCAUCACAUUUUGUAAAAUUUUUAUUUUUAGCCAUUGAUUUUGAUUUCCUUUGAUCACAAGGCAAAUGAUAUCGAAAAAUCACAAAAUUUAUUUUCUAGAUGCUUCAAAUACUCUAGAUCAAGUCUAAUGGAGCCGAUUGUCGAUUCGAAAGUCUCAAUAUCGAAAAUGACUUAAAAACACGGAGGGCUCUGUCCUUUCGGAAGCAUAUCAGCCUCACUCUGAUAGCUUAUUGAGCAAUCUAUUUCGUAUAUAUCAUUCUAUUACAUUAUUUAUAGGUAACUUUGUCUUUAUAUUUAUUUUUACAAAAUUUUAUUGCUAAAGUCUAUCCCAAAUAACUAGCCUAUUUGAGAGUACAAAAUAUAGUAAGAUAUUUAAUGCAAUAUUUUCUCUUAUGCAUAGGGUAAUUAAUACAAGGGGUAAAGUGCAGGGAGUUUUCUAUAUUUGAGCCAAAAAAAAUUGAAGCAAUGAAGAUAUAUCAUGUACGUUGGGGGGAAAAAAAUUUGAAUUACACUUUACUAUAUUUUACUUUUGUAUUAUUUUUAUUUGCUAUAUUAGAGUCCGGCUACUAUGCUAUCGGUAGCACGGAGCGCUCCGUGCUACCAAGUUGUUUUCGAUGAUGCGGCUUCCAAAUCGACGAUCAGCUCCGUUAAACUUGAUCUACAUUUGAAAGUAUUUGAAAACUAAAUUUCAGAUUUUUUCGAUAUCAUUUGACUAGUGAUCAAAAGAUCUCAAAAUUGACAAUUUUAAUGGUCGAUGUGGUGUGUUUGUGAGUUUAACGGUGUAAAACAAUCCAAAUGCGAUGAAAAUUUUAUAGAAAAUUCUUUUCACUAUUUAGAGUAAGAUCAGUAUAUUUGAUCUUGAAUUUAAAUCUUUUAUCAUCAUUUUUUAUGAGAUUUUUAUUUUCAGCCGUUCAAUUUUAGACUACUUGUUUGAUAGGUAAAUGAUAUCGAAAAAUUAUGAAAUUUAGUUUCUAAAUACUUUCAAUAGUGUAGAUCAAGUCUAACGGAGCCGAUCGUCGAUUUGGAAGCCGCAUCAUCGAAAACAACUUGGUAGCACGGAGCGCUCCGUGCUACCGAUAGAAUAGUAGUCUAGCAUCUAUAUUAUAUUUUUUAGUCAAAAAUAUUAUCAUAUUAUUAUAUUUUAUCCAUCUCUACACAGUAUUUUAAAUUUAUUUUUAUUUUUCUAUAUUGUACUGUUUUUUUUCUCAUACAUAUUACUAA
RNAcentral lists this long non-coding RNA (3858 nucleotides) under Ananas comosus (pineapple). Its description in RNAcentral is "long non-coding RNA (ACOM_LNC009321)". Lineage: Eukaryota; Viridiplantae; Streptophyta; Magnoliopsida; Poales; Bromeliaceae. The record is from RNAcentral.